UGAGCAAUCUGCCCUUCUCUUUGGAAAUAAGCGUCGGAAACGACGUCUAAUGCCGAAUACGACCUCCUUUCGCAUGAUCGGAGGUGGAAAGCUCCGGCGGAGAAGGAUGAGCUCGCGGCCUAUCAGCUAGUUGGUGUGGGUAAUGGCCCACAAGGCGACGACGGGUAGCCGGCCUGAGAGGGUGACCGGCCACACUGGGACUGAGACACGGCCCAGACUCCGUACGGGAGCAG
Molecule: ribosomal RNA, 233 nt
Filed under: uncultured bacterium
Lineage: Bacteria
Description: partial 16S ribosomal RNA
Rfam family: Bacterial small subunit ribosomal RNA
Source: RNAcentral